This 301-nucleotide ribosomal RNA is filed under the name uncultured bacterium. Its description in RNAcentral is "partial 16S ribosomal RNA". It matches the Rfam family "Bacterial small subunit ribosomal RNA", at positions 509 to 807 of the family's 1533-position model. The record is from RNAcentral.
CAGCCGCCACGGUAAUACGGAGGGUGCAAGCGUUAAUCGGAAUUACUGGGCGUAAAGCGUGCGUAGGCGGUUCGUUAAGUCUGUUGUGAAAGCCCCGGGCUCAACCUGGGAAUGGCAAUGGAUACUGGCGAGCUAGAGUGUGUCAGAGGAUGGUGGAAUUCCCGGUGUAGCGGUGAAAUGCGUAGAGAUCGGGAGGAACAUCAGUGGCGAAGGCGGCCAUCUGGGACAACACUGACGCUGAGACACGAAAGCGUGGGGAGCAAACAGGAUUAGAUACCCCGGUAGUCCCUGUCUCUUAUAC